CCAGAGGGCCGGGCGGCCGCGGCUCGCGCAGCGAUGUGCGGGGCGAGGAAAGUCCGGGCUCCACGAAACGACGGUGCCGGGUAACGCCCGGCGGGGGCGACCCCAGGGAAAGUGCCACAGAGAGCAGACCGCCACGGCUUUGGCCAGGCAAGGGUGAAAGGGUGCGGCAAGAGCGCACCGCGGCCCCGGCAACGGGGACGGCACGGCAAACCCCACCGGGAGCAAGACCGAAUAGGGACGGCAUAUGGGCCUCGUUUCGGCCCGUCGUCCGGGUUGGUUGCUGGAUCGCGGGCGCAAGUCCGCGACUAGAGGAAUGGUCGCCCAUCUGGCCGCGCCCUAUUGGGAGCGGCCGGUGGACAGAACCCGGCUUACAGGCCCUCUGGCAUU
This 387-nucleotide RNase P RNA is filed under the name Sphingomonas baiyangensis. RNAcentral's name for it is "Bacterial RNase P class A". It matches the Rfam family "Bacterial RNase P class A". From Rfam's summary of the family: Ribonuclease P (RNase P) is a ubiquitous endoribonuclease, found in archaea, bacteria and eukarya as well as chloroplasts and mitochondria. Its best characterised activity is the generation of mature 5'-ends of tRNAs by cleaving the 5'-leader elements of precursor-tRNAs. Lineage: Bacteria; Pseudomonadati; Pseudomonadota; Alphaproteobacteria; Sphingomonadales; Sphingomonadaceae. The record is from Rfam by way of RNAcentral.